This 461-nucleotide ribosomal RNA is filed under the name uncultured bacterium. RNAcentral's name for it is "bacterial SSU rRNA". It matches the Rfam family "Bacterial small subunit ribosomal RNA", at positions 343 to 795 of the family's 1533-position model. The record is from RNAcentral.
GGGAGGCAGCAGUGGGGAAUAUUGCGCAAUGGGCGAAAGCCUUACGCAGCGACGCCGCGUGAGGGAUGAAGGUUCUCGGAUCGUAAACCUCUGUCAGGGGGGAAGAAACCCCCUCGUGUGAAUAAUGCGAGGGCUUGACGGUACCCCCAAAGGAAGCACCGGCUAACUCCGUGCCAGCAGCCGCGGUAAUACGGAGGGUGCAAGCGUUAAUCGGAAUCACUGGGCGUAAAGCGCACGUAGGCGGCUUGGUAAGUCGGGGGUGAAAUCCCACAGCCCAACUGUGGAACUGCCUUUGAUACUGCCAGGCUUGAGUACCGGAGAGGGUGGCGGAAUUCCAGGUGUAGGAGUGAAAUCCGUAGAUAUCUGGAGGAACACCGGUGGCGAAGGCGGCCACCUGGACGGUAACUGACGCUGAGGUGCGAAAGCGUGGGUAGCAAACAGGAUUAGAUACCCUGGUAGUC